Molecule: long non-coding RNA, 822 nt
Filed under: Homo sapiens (human)
Lineage: Eukaryota; Metazoa; Chordata; Mammalia; Primates; Hominidae
Description: HSALNT0225468
Source: RNAcentral
GCCUUACCCAUUAUGCCUAGCUGGCAAGGACAGGGAAACAUGUGACCUUCCACCAGGGAGUAAAUUACAGCUAAGCAAGUCCAUUUGAGGAGGCAGUGUCUUUAGACAAAUAGCCUGACACUCCACAGAUGGAAACAAACCUGGGAACCUUGGCUGGGUUUUCUGAUGGGCAUCUGAAGCUUCAUUGAAGGGCAGGAUCUGAGAGCCGGAGGGGCAGAGAGAGGGAAUUGAGAAGUGAAUGGAGGCUUGGAUGCAGGCACUCACGGAGAACUCUCAGAGUGAAAAGAAAGCAACCAGGUAAAGGAAUCAUAGAAGGAGGAAGAAUACUUCCUGGAAGUUUCAUGAAUAUGCGCCUGAUGCUUUCACUCCAUAAACCUUCAUGUCCGGCUCCCAAUGAGCCAUGCCUCAUCUCACCAGCUGGACUCAUUAUGUGUGUUUUAAGUGGCUGAAUCAUCGCCUUUUCUCCCUCUCACAUUACUUCACAAACACUAAAAGGCAGAAUUGUCUUCUUUCCCAUGAUCUAGUCUCAUGUCUCAUAGCAAAGUAAUACCCAUUGAACUAAAAUAGCUGUCAACUUGCUAAUAAAUAAGAAGUAUUAAACUAAACUCACACUAAUGGAGCUGUGUAGGGGUGACAAGGUAUUCAGAGCCAGUCAAGCGUCCCAGCAGCUCACUCCUGAGGGCGCCACUUCAUAAACAGAGGCAUUGAUGGGCAUCCCUGAACGCCGGGGGCUUCCCAAUUCCCACAUGUCAUGAACAAGUGAGGACAGAUAUUAAUUGGAAUGGUACUUGAUAUCACCAUCAGAGUUAAACAAACUUGCCA